This 354-nucleotide long non-coding RNA is filed under the name Gossypium barbadense (sea-island cotton). RNAcentral's name for it is "long non-coding RNA (GBAR_LNC003984)". Lineage: Eukaryota; Viridiplantae; Streptophyta; Magnoliopsida; Malvales; Malvaceae. The record is from RNAcentral.
AUGGCGACCAUAGUUGCACACCAAGCUCUUCAAGAUGGCCUAAAGUUGAGGUUCAAGCAUUGAUUGAGCUGAGGACUAGGCUUGACGCUAAAUACCAUGAUAAUGGUCCUAAAGGACCAUUGUGGGAGGAGAUAUCAGCUGCAAUGAAAAAGCUUGGUUACAAUCGCAAUGCUAAAAGAUGCAAAGAGAAAUGGGAGAACAUAAACAAGUACUUCAAGAAGGUAAAAGAUAACCACAAGAAAAGGCCCGAGGAUUCCAAAACAUGUCCCUACUUUCACCAACUUGAUGCUUUAUAUAGAGAAAAGAACAAACAUGACAGCUCCUCCACUCAAUUCAAACCCCAGAACUCAGUCC